GGAUUUGCCGCAAAUGCCAAAGUGGUCAUUUGUUAGUAGCCUACUGGCUUUCCAAAUUCUGGUUUAGGUGGACUUUUCAAGAUUUUUUUCUGAUUUACUGUGGACAUUCUGUUUUGGUGGACCCAAAAAGUCCACGUAAAAAUAAACGCACAGAACACCUUUUAGCUGGACGUAAACGUAUCCGAAAGAACAAGUCUGUUUCGGUGGACUCAAAAAUUGUCCACCUUAGGCGCCAUCUAUCUCUAAACUAAAAAAUUUGAUGGUUCGUAGUUCCAAUAUCUGCCACAGACGGCGCCACCAUCGGCUGGCUCUGUGUUGAAGCUCGGAAACGCACGCCUUGAUCAGCGCGGGCUAGCGCGGGCAUGCAGCAAAAACGUAACAUGAUAUGAUUUAUAGUGUGGUCUGUGGAAUGUGAAGCGAUCAAAAUAGACGUUUGUUUUAUUUUUAAAAAAGUGUAAAAAUAAAUUAAUUAUAUUAUGUAUCUUAGAAACCCGUGAAUUAGAGUAUGAUGAAGUUUUGUGUAGUUGCAACAACACUGUUUUUUGUUGCGGUGUUAUCGGCGCGGCACGGCUCACCACGUGGCGGUGUCAGUGUUGGGAUUUGGAAGAGAUAAAGCUUUGGGUGGUACUAAUUUGUGUUUUUUUUUGUGCUGGGAGCUUUUUGAAGUCUGUGAGGUAGCUUGGAUGUUCAGGCCACUUUGAUAGUCCAAGAUGCUGUCUGGUACUAAUGUACGCAAGAAGCGACCAGCAGCUGUUACUUCUGGACGAAGGAGGAAAGUGGCGAAAACUGUUCAGGAUCUCUAUUUUGUGGAAAGAAUAUUAGCCCACCAGUGGAAAGACGGCAACAUGAUGUACCUCAUCAAGUGGCAAGGUUUCAGGGAAUGGGGCUAAAGAUCCCGAGAUACCGGUGACAUGGAACAUUUACGGUGCGACGCCGCGAGAAAGAAGCCAUCUAGCUUCCAAAGAUAAUCCACUUCUACU
Molecule: long non-coding RNA, 980 nt
Filed under: Amphibalanus amphitrite
Lineage: Eukaryota; Metazoa; Arthropoda; Thecostraca; Balanomorpha; Balanidae
Description: uncharacterized LOC122382263, transcript variant X3
Source: RNAcentral